UCGGAGGUGCUAGCUUGGUAUCCAUCGAGCUACAUAUUGCCCAUGGUAGCCUUAUGGUCAUGGUAAACAGGUGCUCCAUAAGCUAGCAAGUCACGGCAGCCUUUUUCUUCAACAGUUAUGUUUGGAUCCUUUCUAUCAUCUCAAUAUCUUUGGGAUCUGCGAUGAAUUUUGUACUGUUAUUGAAUGGGGACUUCAUGCCAUAUCUUUGAUUUUGUUUUAUGUUCGAGUCAUUAUCUACAACUCUCACUGUCUCAGUGUGUCGAUUGCUCUUUCUGUCUCAGGAGAUCUGAGUGUCAGGCACCUCAGCUAAUGAACGCAAACGACGCCAGCACCACAGUAUCAGUAGCUGGGGCUCCGCAUAAUAAUUAGUUGCAGAGUGGAGCGACUUGGGGUGUCUGAAAAAGUGGUGGUUCGAAAGUGUAUUAAAUGAAAGACCAUCAACAAAUGGAGAGCGAUGGCACCCAUAGCUAGCGUAGUGUUCGUUUCUUUUGCAUACAAAAAUGUUUUGCGUAGCUUUUUAGCUACGGUCUUGGGGAGUGAGCCCAUUGUGCCAAUUGCUGCUGCUGCAGCCACUAUGGCUGGUACCGAUCAUCUCUCACUGUGAUUCUGUUCUGUUUUUUACUAAUGAGAAUGAAAACUUUGCCUUUUCUUUGA
Long non-coding RNA from Populus nigra (black poplar), 654 nucleotides. RefSeq lists it as uncharacterized. The record is from RefSeq and is a predicted model, not a curated record. Lineage: Eukaryota; Viridiplantae; Streptophyta; Magnoliopsida; Malpighiales; Salicaceae. The transcript is spliced from 2 exons.